GAAUUUUGGGCGGAAAAACGGCGUCUCGCGCGGCCGGGUCGCGCGCCCGCGCGCCGAGCCCGCGCGCGCUGUCCAGCAGGUCUGUCUUCGUCGCGCGGCCGCGCGCCUGGACCGCGCGACCUCGCGCGGCCUUGCGCAGUGAUUUUGUUUUGGCUCGUUCUCCCUCGUCCGAACUCCGAUUUACGAACCGUUUGCGCUCACGAACUCCUAUCGAGACGAACUACAACUUCUAUUUCAGCCAAAUCUUCCAAAUUCUGCUUCUUUAUUUC
This 269-nucleotide long non-coding RNA is filed under the name Salvia miltiorrhiza (redroot sage). RNAcentral describes it as "long non-coding RNA (SMIL_LNC003181)". Lineage: Eukaryota; Viridiplantae; Streptophyta; Magnoliopsida; Lamiales; Lamiaceae. The record is from RNAcentral.